GACGGAGGAUGCAAGCGUUAUCCGGAAUGAUUGGGCGUAAAGCGUCCGCAGGUGGCAGUUCAAGUCUGCUGUCAAAGACCGGGGCUUAACUUCGGAAAGGCAGUGGAAACUGAACAGCUGGAGUACGGUAGGGGCAGGGGGAAUUUCCGGUGGAGCGGUGAAAUGCGUAGAGAUCGGAAAGAACACCAACGGCGAAAGCACUCUGCUGGGCCGACACUGACACUGAGAGACGAAAGCUAGGGGAGCGAAUGGG
Molecule: ribosomal RNA, 253 nt
Filed under: uncultured bacterium
Lineage: Bacteria
Description: partial 16S ribosomal RNA
Rfam family: Bacterial small subunit ribosomal RNA
Source: RNAcentral